Molecule: ribosomal RNA, 468 nt
Filed under: uncultured bacterium
Lineage: Bacteria
Description: partial 16S ribosomal RNA
Rfam family: Bacterial small subunit ribosomal RNA
Source: RNAcentral
GACGAACGCUGGCGGCGUGCUUAACACAUGCAAGUCAAACGGAAAGGCCCUGCUUUUGUGGGGUGCUCGAGUGGCGAACGGGUGAGUAACACGUGAGUAACCUGCCCUUGACUUUGGGAUAACUUCAGGAAACUGGGGCUAAUACCGGAUAGGAGCUCCUGCUGCAUGGUGGGGGUUGGAAAGUUUCGGCGGUUGGGGAUGGACUCGCGGCUUAUCAGCUUGUUGGUGGGGUAGUGGCUUACCAAGGCUUUGACGGGUAGCCGGCCUGAGAGGGUGACCGGCCACAUUGGGACUGAGAUACGGCCCAGACUCCUACGGGAGGCAGCAGUGGGGAAUAUUGCACAAUGGGCGGAGGCCUGAUGCAGCAACGCCGCGUGCGGGAUGACGGCCUUCGGGUUGUAAACCGCUUUCGCCUGUGACGAAGCGUGAGUGACGGUAAUGGGUAAAGAAGCACCGGCUAACUACGUG